CCAGCCCAUUGGGCCUCUCUGAGAAGGUCUGUGAAGUUUAUUUCAUUUCAGGUUCAAGGGUCCAUACAGGGAAAAGCAGUACACACUUUACAGCACUAAAGUGCCCACUUUCAAUUACCUGGCAGAGUACAAUGCUUCCCUUCACCCUCCAGAGAAGUGAAAUGUUACUCUGUGUGUGAGUCAGCACCCAGUUUUCAUCUCUUCCAUCUUGCAAGAAAUCAAAAGAAACCGUUUUCCUGGAAUCAUACAUGGAAAUGAGGUUCCAGUGAGGGCAGCUGGAAUAACUGUUGCGGAGCUGAAGAUAAUGCAGGGAACUAAGGGUGUCCUACUGUUAACUAGAUGAGGAAACUGAGACGGUGGGAAGUUAAAUAACAGCACAGAUUGGACAGAGAAGAAAUGGCAGAAGUUGGAUUUCAACUCAAGCCUACCUGGUUAACUUUCCCCUGUGCCUUGAUUAAUAGCUGAUCUGAUCUUCUCUAAGACUAAAAGCAAAGACAAGAACAUAAUAAAUAACUGAAUUACAUGCUA
Molecule: non-coding RNA, 528 nt
Organism: Ictidomys tridecemlineatus (thirteen-lined ground squirrel)
Lineage: Eukaryota; Metazoa; Chordata; Mammalia; Rodentia; Sciuridae
Source: RefSeq, a predicted model, not a curated record